Molecule: long non-coding RNA, 1341 nt
Organism: Lactuca sativa (garden lettuce)
Lineage: Eukaryota; Viridiplantae; Streptophyta; Magnoliopsida; Asterales; Asteraceae
Source: RefSeq, a predicted model, not a curated record
UACAAGAUUUUGCUGAAUUUUAAGAGGUAUAAGCAUUAAUAGAUAAAUCUUAUUCGGUCAAGGUCAAAGUUGAACAACCAUUCCACACUUUCAGCAAUUUGAAUCGGUCAAAACCCGGUUAGAUCAACGUUAUUUAGCAUCUUAUUCAUGGUGCUACCUUGCCAAUGUCGGAAGCCACGACUGUUGCCACCGUUUCUCAUCUCCUUCUUCUUUCUCUCCGUCGAACCAAUCCGUAGAACUAAAUCCUAAACAAAUCUUAGAGUUGAGGGCCUUAAGCAAAUCAAGUUAUUAACCUUCGUUUUAUUUCUUUGAUUACAUGAUCCAAUCUGUAUACAUAGACUUCUAAAGAAAAUAACGUCCUCCCAUCUCUUUUUUUUCUCCCCUAAAGGUUCGAUUUUCCUGUUCGUCAUUGUUUUAGAUUUUUUUAUUCAUUUGUGCUCAACGAUUUUGAUUUUUAAUAGGUUUGAUUCAUAAUAGGUGUUUUAAAGCUCUCAUAGGUUCAAAGUUCUAACUGGUUCAUUUUUUACUGAUUUUGUUUCUUUCUUGCUACUUUAGUUUUUGAUCAUAUGAUUGCACUACGUAAUUAUCCAUUGCAGCACACCUACAAAUCUAAAACCUUGCACUACAUCAUCCACCUCAAGAUUACACAUAUACCAUUAUUGGAACAGGCGAAAAUUGAAGAAAAUUAUCCGGAGUUAAACUGACUCUGAAUACUUAGAGAUUAAUCAGUUAUGUCCAUUGAUUUGUUUCCUUUUUAUCUGUUUUCUAGAUUUGAGAACCUUAGAUUUGUUAUUUUCUUCCCAGGUUAAUACAAAUAGAUGGGUUAUAGAACAUGCACUCCAGGUGUUUGACAAAAUGUCUCCUUAAAACUAUAACCCAAAUUUACUGCACUCAUCUCUUGACCUGUGUUGGAACAUCAAAUAAAGUCAUGUGCUGAUUCCAAAGGUAAGUUUUUAACAUCGUUUGUAAUCAUAUAACAUUUACUUGACCAAUCAAUGUUUUAGAAGCUAUAUUUAUAAGCAAUUUACCAGAUUUUAUGAGUUAUUGUGUGCAUUGUAAUACACAAAGGAAAAGUUGUAACAUUAUACUCAUAAUUUUGACUUAAAGUGUCCCUGUCUAACGAUUUUUUUGACAAAAUAAUGUAUGGUUAAUUAUUUAUUUAACAAAAUACGAAUUACUUAUUUGAUGAAUAUAGGUUAUGAAGUCUUGGAACCCAGGAACCAAUAUUGAGUGGUUAUUAUGUGUCAUUAAAGAUAAUCUGUCUGGUUUGUAUGUCAUAUGUAAAGAGUUUUUAAGACUCAACUCAAUCUAAUAUCAAUUGUGAUUUUUUUUUUUUAUAAA